UCAGGACGAACGCUGGCGGCGUGCUUAACACAUGCAAGUCGAGCGGAAAGGCCCUUUCGGGGGUACUCGAGCGGCGAACGGGUGAGUAACACGUGAGUAAUCUGCCCCAGGCUCUGGGAUAGCCACCGGAAACGGUGAUUAAUACCGGAUAUGACGCGCCGCUGCAUGGUGGUGUGUGGAAAGUUUUUUCGGCUUGGGAUGUGCUCGCGGCCUAUCAGCUUGUUGGUGGGGUAAUGGCCUACCAAGGCUUUGACGGGUAGCCGGCCUGAGAGGGUGACCGGCCACACUGGGACUGAGACACGGCCCAGACUCCUACGGGAGGCAGCAGUGGGGAAUAUUGGACAAUGGGCGGAAGCCUGAUCCAGCAACGCCGCGUGAGGGAUGACGGCCUUCGGGUUGUAAACCUCUUUCAGUGCAGACGAAGCGAGAGUGACGGU
RNAcentral lists this ribosomal RNA (437 nucleotides) under soil bacterium 4V-09. Its description in RNAcentral is "bacterial SSU rRNA". It matches the Rfam family "Bacterial small subunit ribosomal RNA", at positions 24 to 476 of the family's 1533-position model. The record is from RNAcentral.